AAUUGAUGGUGUUAUCGAAAGAGAAGCUCCUGAUCGAAGCCCCAGUAAACGGCGGCCGUAACUAUAACGGUCCUAAGGUAGCGAAAUUCCUUGUCGGGUAAGUUCCGACCUGCACGAAUGGCAUAAUGAUGGCCAGGCUGUCUCCACCCGAGACUCAGUGAAAUUGAAAUCGCCGUGAAGAUGCGGUGUACCCGCGGCUAGACGGAAAGACCCCGUGAACCUUUACUAUAGCUUGACACUGAACAUUGAAUUUUGAUGUGUAGGAUAGGUGGGAGCCUUUGAAGCAGUGACGCCAGUCAUUGUGGAGGCGACCUUGAAAUACCACCCUUUAACGUUUGAUGUUCUAACGAAGUGCCUGAAACGGGUACUCGGACAGUGUCUGGUGGGUAGUUUGACUGGGGCGGUCUCCUCCCAAAGCGUAACGGAGGAGCACGAAGGUUUGCUAAUGACGGUCGGACAUCGUCAGGUUAGUGCAAUGGUAUAAGCAAGCUUAACUGCGAGACAGACAAGUCGAGCAGGUGCGAAAGCAGGUCAUAGUGAUCCGGUGGUUCUGAAUGGAAGGGCCAUCGCUCAACGGAUAAAAGGUACUCCGGGGAUAACAGGCUGAUACCGCCCAAGAGUUCAUAUCGACGGCGGUGUUUGGCACCUCGAUGUCGGCUCAUCACAUCCUGGGGCUGAAGUAGGUCCCAAGGGUAUGGCUGUUCGCCAUUUAAAGUGGUACGCGAGCUGGGUUUAGAACGUCGUGAGACAGUUCGGUCCCUAUCUGCCGUGGGCGUUGGAUGAUUGAUUGGGGCUGCUCCUAGUACGAGAGGACCGGAGUGGACGCAUCACUGGUGUUCCAGUUGUCUCGCCAGAGGCAUUGCUGGGUAGCUAAAUGCGGAAGAGAUAAGUGCUGAAAGCAUCUAAGCACGAAACUUGCCAAGAGAUGAGUCAUCCCUGACUUUAAGUCAGUAAGGGUUGUUGUAGACUACGACGUAGAUAGGUUGGGUGUGUAAGUGUAGUGAUACAUUGAGCUAACCAAUACUAAUUGCCCGAGAGGCUUAACCAUACAACGCUCAAG
This 1060-nucleotide ribosomal RNA is filed under the name Pasteurella multocida. Its description in RNAcentral is "bacterial LSU rRNA". It matches the Rfam family "Bacterial large subunit ribosomal RNA", at positions 1879 to 2925 of the family's 2925-position model. Lineage: Bacteria; Pseudomonadati; Pseudomonadota; Gammaproteobacteria; Pasteurellales; Pasteurellaceae. The record is from RNAcentral.